Molecule: ribosomal RNA, 439 nt
Filed under: uncultured bacterium
Lineage: Bacteria
Description: partial 16S ribosomal RNA
Rfam family: Bacterial small subunit ribosomal RNA
Source: RNAcentral
CUACGGGACGCUCCAGUGAGGAAUAUUGCACAAUGGGGGGAACCCUGAUGCAGCAACGCCGCGUGGAGGAUGACGCAUUUCGGUGUGUAAACUCCUUUUAUAUGUCAAGAAAAUGACGGUAGCAUAUGAAUAAGAACCGGCUAACUCCGUGCCAGCAGCCGCGGUAAUACGGAGGGUGCAAGCGUUACUCGGAAUCACUGGGCGUAAAGGACGCGUAGGCGGGUUGGAAAGUCAGGUGUGAAAUCCAACAGCUUAACUGUAGAACUGCACUUGAAACUUCUAAUCUAGAGUAUGGGAGGGGGAGAUGGAAUUAGUGGUGUAGGGGUAAAAUCCGUAGAUAUCACUAGGAAUACCUAAAGCGAAGGCGAUCUCCUGGAACAUUACUGACGCUAAGGCGUGAAAGCGUGGGGAGCAAACAGGAUUAGAUACCCGCGUAGUC